Molecule: ribosomal RNA, 497 nt
Filed under: uncultured bacterium
Lineage: Bacteria
Description: partial 16S ribosomal RNA
Rfam family: Bacterial small subunit ribosomal RNA
Source: RNAcentral
GAUGAACGCUGGCGGCGUGCCUAAUACAUGCAAGUCGAGCGAACGGACGAGAAGCUUGCUUCUCUGAUGUUAGCGGCGGACGGGUGAGUAACACGUGGAUAACCUACCUAUAAGACUGGGAUAACUUCGGGAAACCGUAGCUAAUACCGGAUAAUAUUUUGAACCGCAUGGUUCAAAAGUGAAAGACGGUCUUGCUGUCACUUAUAGAUGGAUCCGCGCUGCAUUAGCUAGUUGGUAAGGUAACGGCUUACCAAGGCAACGAUGCAUAGCCGACCUGAGAGGGUGAUCGGCCACAGUGGAACUGAGACACGGUCCAGACUCCUACGGGAGGCAGCAGUAGGGAAUCUUCCGCAAUGGGCGAAAGCCUGACGGAGCAACGCCGCGUGAGUGAUGAAGGUCUUCGGAUCGUAAAACUCUGUUAUUAGGGAAGAACAUAUGUGUAAGUAACUGUGCACAUCUUGACGGUACCUAAUCAGAAAGCCACGGCUAACUACGUG